This 296-nucleotide long non-coding RNA is filed under the name Elaeis guineensis (African oil palm). Its description in RNAcentral is "long non-coding RNA (EGUI_LNC057695)". Lineage: Eukaryota; Viridiplantae; Streptophyta; Magnoliopsida; Arecales; Arecaceae. The record is from RNAcentral.
GGGCACUGGCAGUCCAUAGGAGCCGCAUGGACCGAACACAUGGUCCACGCACAGUCCAGGUGAUUUUUUGCAUCAUCCGAUGGUCCAAAUCACAGUUGGUCGCGAUCGGAUGGUUGAGGAUGAAUCCGAACUUGAUUAGGUGAUCGGUGGCUCUGAUGUGUGUAAUUAGAUGGCUCUGGUGUGAGCCGAUCACAAUUGAACAGCCACAGAUGAUUCUAAGCUUGAUUGAGACUCUGUUUCAUAGUGUAACAGUAUUUUGAAGUUUUUGAAGUCUAUAAAACUUCGAUUGACGAGCC